UAGGGAAUCUUCGGCAAUGGACGGAAGUCUGACCGAGCAACGCCGCGCGAGUGAAGAAGGUUUUCGGAUCGUAAAGCUCUGUUGUUAGAGAAGAACGUUGGUAGGAGUGGAAAAUCUACCAAGUGACGGUAACUAACCAGAAAGGGACGGCUAACUACGUGCCAGCAGCCGCGGUAAUACGUAGGUCCCGAGCGUUGUCCGGAUUUAUUGGGCGUAAAGCGAGCGCAGGCGGUUCUUUAAGUCUGAAGUUAAAGGCAGUGGCUUAACCAUUGUACGCUGUGGAAACUGGAGGACUUGAGUGCAGAAGGGGAGGGUGGAAUUCCAUGUGUAGCGGUGAAAUGCGUAGAUAUAUGGAGGAACACCGGUGGCGAAAGCGGCUCUCAGGUCUGUAACUGACGAUGAGGCUCGAAAGCGUGGGGAGCAAACAGG
RNAcentral lists this ribosomal RNA (429 nucleotides) under Bacillota bacterium. RNAcentral's name for it is "Firmicutes bacterium partial 16S ribosomal RNA". It matches the Rfam family "Bacterial small subunit ribosomal RNA", at positions 355 to 776 of the family's 1533-position model. Lineage: Bacteria; Bacillati; Bacillota. The record is from RNAcentral.